This 404-nucleotide ribosomal RNA is filed under the name Verrucomicrobiota bacterium. RNAcentral describes it as "Verrucomicrobia bacterium partial 16S ribosomal RNA". It matches the Rfam family "Bacterial small subunit ribosomal RNA", at positions 355 to 776 of the family's 1533-position model. The record is from RNAcentral. Lineage: Bacteria; Pseudomonadati; Verrucomicrobiota.
UGGGGAAUAUUGCACAAUGGGGGAAACCCUGAUGCAGCGACGCCGCGUGAGCGAUGAAGGCUUUCGAGUCGUAAAGCUCUGUCCUAUGGGAAGAUAAUGACGGUACCAUAGAAGAAAGCCCCGGCUAAUCACGUGCCAGCAGCCGCGGUAAUACGUAAGGGGCGAGCGUUGUCCGGAAUAAUUGGGCGUAAAGAGUGCGUAGGCGGCAAAUUAAGUCAGAUGUGAAAACUAAGGGGUCAACCCAUAGAUUGCAUCUGAAACUGCUAUGCUUGAGUCAAGGAGAGGGGAGUGGAGUUCCUAGUGUAGCGGUGGAAUACGUAGAUAUUAGGGGGAAUACCGGUGGCGAAGGCGACUUUCUGGACUUGAACUGACGCUGAGGCACGAAAGCGUGGGGAGCAAACAGG